CUAUAUGUAUCCAGCCGACUGCUCAAAAUGAUAAAGUCACCGCUCAUCACAGCCCAAACUGUGGGCUGUGGCCGCUGGCCGAGAGCCGGCUACCCACAGCGGCAGCAGCAACACGGCUAGUUAGCAUUAGCAUGCAGCUAACAGGUUGAUUCCAAGUGAAAACCAUCUACACAGCUAAAGAGGCUUACAUAACACUUGGGAUCCCCCUGACAUCCCACAAGACUGUCAGUCUAGUCGUGUAGCUGGAAUUUGCUGCAGCAGAGGUGGGGAUGAAUAUUCAGAAGCUCAGCUGCCUCCAAGGCCUACAGAGACAUGACACACACACCCCUCCAAGGACCCCCAACCCUCCCUCUUUCUCUAUACACAUACACACACACACACCCCUCCACUUUCCCUUGAUGUGGUGGAGUCAGUCCAACACUCCACAGGUGUGACCCACUCAGACCUGUGAAAGCCUCCACACACCACUCAGGCCUGUGAUCAGGAAGGCAGAAAGAGCAGCUGCGCAUAUACAGGAAGCAAAGGACAGAGUUAUCACCAUGAGCCAUCUGUAAUGGACAUCAUGGGAAAUGAAUCAAUCCCUCCUUCCAUGACUGGUUGCGCUGAUGUCACAGUUAAACUGAUAGAUGAGGAAGUUGUCUCCCCACAAGACACUUUGUGGACUUUUGAAGGUUAAUAGCCAAAAGAUGGGUCCAUCAAUCGCAUUAAAGUCUGAAAUAAUAACACCCCA
Molecule: long non-coding RNA, 730 nt
Organism: Thunnus maccoyii (southern bluefin tuna)
Lineage: Eukaryota; Metazoa; Chordata; Actinopteri; Scombriformes; Scombridae
Exons: 2
Source: RefSeq, a predicted model, not a curated record